This 278-nucleotide ribosomal RNA is filed under the name uncultured bacterium. RNAcentral describes it as "partial 16S ribosomal RNA". It matches the Rfam family "Bacterial small subunit ribosomal RNA", at positions 29 to 334 of the family's 1533-position model. The record is from RNAcentral.
AACGAACGCUGGCGGCAGGCUUAACACAUGCAAGUCGAACGGUCUCUUCGGAGGCAGUGGCAGACGGGUGAGUAACGCGUGGGAAUCUACCCAGAUCUACGGAACAACAGUUGGAAACGACUGCUAGUACCGUAUACGCCCUACGGGGGAAAGAUUUAUCGGAUUUGGAUGAGCCCGCGUAAGAUUAGCUAGUUGGUGAGGUAAUGGCUCACCAAGGCGACGAUCUUUAGCUGGUCUGAGAGGAUGAUCAGCCACACUGGGACUGAGACACGGCCCAG